Molecule: ribosomal RNA, 569 nt
Filed under: Stenotrophomonas sp. E37II
Lineage: Bacteria; Pseudomonadati; Pseudomonadota; Gammaproteobacteria; Lysobacterales; Lysobacteraceae
Description: bacterial SSU rRNA
Rfam family: Bacterial small subunit ribosomal RNA
Source: RNAcentral
CGAUGAACGCUGGCGGUAGGCCUAACACAUGCAAGUCGAACGGCAGCACAGUAAGAGCUUGCUCUUAUGGGUGGCGAGUGGCGGACGGGUGAGGAAUACAUCGGAAUCUACCUUUUCGUGGGGGAUAACGUAGGGAAACUUACGCUAAUACCGCAUACGACCUUCGGGUGAAAGCAGGGGACCUUCGGGCCUUGCGCGGAUAGAUGAGCCGAUGUCGGAUUAGCUAGUUGGCGGGGUAAAGGCCCACCAAGGCGACGAUCCGUAGCUGGUCUGAGAGGAUGAUCAGCCACACUGGAACUGAGACACGGUCCAGACUCCUACGGGAGGCAGCAGUGGGGAAUAUUGGACAAUGGGCGCAAGCCUGAUCCAGCCAUACCGCGUGGGUGAAGAAGGCCUUCGGGUUGUAAAGCCCUUUUGUUGGGAAAGAAAAGCAGCCGGCUAAUACCCGGUUGUUCUGACGGUACCCAAAGAAUAAGCACCGGCUAACUUCGUGCCAGCAGCCGCGGUAAUACGAAGGGUGCAAGCGUUACUCGGAAUUACUGGGCGUAAAGCGUGCGUAGGUGGUUGUU